UACUUUUUACUAAUUUGCAAAUUGAUUUUGCAUUAAAAUGCUUGAAUGUUGCAUUUGAAAGUGAAUUUUUUAGGAUUUUUAAAUCCGGGAAUUUAACGAGAAACCGAGAUUUCUUAAUUAAUUUUGAGUGAAUUGAGACAAAUUAAUUUUAAAACUAUAAGUAUCAAUCUCGAUAACAAUGUGUCUGAUGAAAACGAAGAUCAUUCUGGUGACUUCUUGCUGUCUUGCACUUUUAAGUGUAAUCGUAGCUCAAGAUUUAAAACACAAGGAGUGCCGUAAUUUCGGCGAGUCGUGCAACAAACACAAGUUUUGCUGCUCGUUUGGUGUGUGCAUCAAUAGAAAUUGCGUGCACUGUUCAGAAAUCGGUCAGACUUGCAUGGAUCCUUCAACAUGCUGUUCACAAAAUUGCAAUUCCACGGGUGUCUGUGAUAGACUACCUGCUUAAAACAGUUCUAUUUGGCCGCCUGUAUUGAAAUAUCCACGAGGAAAUUCUCAUGAGAAAAAUAAAAA
Sitodiplosis mosellana (orange wheat blossom midge) is the source of this 510-nucleotide long non-coding RNA. RefSeq lists it as uncharacterized. The transcript has 5 exons. NCBI's taxonomy places the organism in Eukaryota, Metazoa, Arthropoda, Insecta, Diptera, Cecidomyiidae. The record is from RefSeq and is a predicted model, not a curated record.